AUCCCAGAACCCUGGAAUCAUGACUUGAGCCGAAGGCAGAGGUUUUAACCCACUGAGCCACCCAGGCGCCCCAGACAAGGAGAGACUCUUAGCAUCAUCAUUUGACUGGUUCCUUCAGGCAGAGAUCUGGGAGAACAAAAUGAUAAACACUUUUCCAGCGGUUUGUGGAAGAAAGCUGAUCUUCCAUCUAGUAGACCCAAAGUGCCUGAAACAAAAUGGAUAUUUAUGGAUAAACCUCUUAGGGCUACAGAUUCAUCAUUUCGCUUUGUUUCUCUGAGAAGCUCAGGAGAGUUUUGUGAUUUACUAGCUGGGGAGUAAUUUAUUUAUUGCUGACAGCUGGGCUCUGAAAGAGGAACCAGCACAAAUAUCAAUAUAGAAUGGCACAAAAUAAGGAUUACCAGAAUAUUGUGUCUUCUCUUAUGAUAUUGGGGGCCAAAUAGUCAAAUGUUGAUUGGAAUUAACAUUUUAUAUGAGAUUGUCAUGCCAAUGACACGGGAUCUUCAGGGUAUUCCUAAAGAUUCUUCUGUCAUUUGACUUUCACAGAAGAAAAAGAGAAAACAUGGUAUUAGAUGACUUAGUUCUAAAGCUGUGAUAGCUGGCAGGAAGUAAAUGACUUUAUUGGAAGAUUGGAAAAUAUCAAGAAUUUUGACACAGUUACAGCACAAUGCAGGCUCUGUUUUCCCAAAAUAAAGCCUAGGUAAGUGCAGAUAAUCAUAUUAGCAUACAAAAAGACACAAACCUGGAGUUACAAUAUUAACCUCUCCUGCCUGGGCCACACUGAGGCACAGAAUAAUAUACUGCCUUAGCACUGGCUAACUUGUAACAAGGUCCAGGCUUGAUUCCAAGAUGACCCUGGGGUUGUUUUGGCAAGAAGCCCUAGAUCAAAACAUGUGAUAUGUGGAGACACCAGGAGACCUAUCUAGAAGAAUGUUGCUAUAGCCAUUGUCAGAGAAAUUACUGCAUUUGUUAUCUCCAAGAAUUUUUAUGGUGUCAGAUCUCCAUUUAAGUCUUUAAUCCAUGGUGAGUUUAUUUUUGUGAAUGGUGAAAGAAGAUGUUCCAGUUUCAUUCA
Molecule: long non-coding RNA, 1069 nt
Organism: Mustela erminea (ermine)
Lineage: Eukaryota; Metazoa; Chordata; Mammalia; Carnivora; Mustelidae
Exons: 3
Source: RefSeq, a predicted model, not a curated record